ACGUUGAAAUACCGAUUCCCGUAGGAUCAGCGAAGUUAAGCAACGUCAAGCCCGGUCAGUACUUUGAUGAGUGACCGCUUGGGAAUGCCAAAUGCUGUAA
This is a non-coding RNA of Acanthosepion pharaonis, 100 nucleotides long. Lineage: Eukaryota; Metazoa; Mollusca; Cephalopoda; Sepiida; Sepiidae. The record is from the annotation of a GenBank genome assembly.